GGGAACUCCAUGUUAACUCACCGUGCAAGGAGGAGAAGAGCAGCCCGGACCUCGUCGCCUCCCGCAAUCGCCUAUGUGCUACCGGCGCCCGUUUGUCGCGGGGGCUGCGCUCACCACCACCCUAGGCCAUGGCUGCGGCUUCAAUGACGGAGGCGACAACAUUCACAGCCGCAUGCCCGUGCGACCUCUUCUCAUCACUCACAGGCUCUGCAUAGUGCUCUAGGCCCACAUCGCGCUGGCCGGAACUCGCCAGUGGACGAGCAAGUCGGCGCCGGGAACAGCGAACCAGGCGAGCCAUCACGCGGUG
Molecule: long non-coding RNA, 307 nt
Filed under: Setaria viridis
Lineage: Eukaryota; Viridiplantae; Streptophyta; Magnoliopsida; Poales; Poaceae
Description: long non-coding RNA (SVIR_LNC007726)
Source: RNAcentral